Molecule: long non-coding RNA, 858 nt
Organism: Cyprinus carpio carpio
Lineage: Eukaryota; Metazoa; Chordata; Actinopteri; Cypriniformes; Cyprinidae
Source: Ensembl
GCACAGAGGUCUACACGCUGUAAUUUACCAGUCUUGUUCCAGUCCAAGAGUUUGGAGAGGUUGCAGGGUUCGCACAUGCACAGAAAGCUGUUCACUUCUUCAACUUCACGUCUAAGCUCGCGCGGAGACUAUGAUAUAAAGACAAAUUUGAGAAAUUUGAAAACCCUUCCAAAAAUAGUAUUUGGAUAAAAUAUUUGGUUUAAUAAUUUGUCAUUCUUUUUUUAUAUAAUAUUUUUAGUUGUGGCAUUUCUAGAGGCACUACACAUUUCCAUCUAGUUUUCAUUAUCAGGUUAUGUUCCUACAGUGACAGCAUCUGGUGCUGAUGGAACAAUGCAUGUUUCUGGAGGGAGUGAUGACAUCCGCUUAGCUUGUCUCUCUCGUUCCAUAACGAGAACCUCCAAGUCGGUAAGAAUGGGUUUAUUGUGGAGCCAUCUGCGCAUGUCCCCCAUCCCUUCAAGCGCUUCUCUGAACGCUUUCCUGUCCCUGAUCCAGUCCGGGUGCUCCGCGGGUUUGCCUCCAGGGACACGCGAGUAGGACUCGGCGGCGCCUCUGCGGGCAGAUGCAGGGCACCACCACUGCAUUUCUGUGAUCCCAAAGAACCACAUGCCACUUGAAAUAGGUACGUCUCUGUCAAAUCUCGCUUUUUUAACCGCCCGAAUUCCUCUUCCAACGUCGGGUCACCCAGUAAGCACUCCGUUCCUAAUACUGGACUUUUUGGCAUUGUUUAAAAAAUAGCUAUUCAAAUAAAAUUAAGCUAAAAUGGAAUAUGGCAGGAUUUUUAUAAAACGCCACUCGCUUCUGUAAAUGUAGCUGUGAAAUAACUAGUCUAUGGGUGGCAUGUUUACAUGUGUAUCCAUG